Molecule: transfer RNA, 73 nt
Filed under: Tannerella sp.
Lineage: Bacteria; Pseudomonadati; Bacteroidota; Bacteroidia; Bacteroidales; Tannerellaceae
Description: tRNA-Lys
Rfam family: tRNA
About the family: Transfer RNA (tRNA) molecules are approximately 80 nucleotides in length. Their secondary structure includes four short double-helical elements and three loops (D, anti-codon, and T loops).
Source: RNAcentral
GACUCCGUAGCUCAGUUGGUAGAGCAAAUGACUCUUAAUCAUUGGGUCGAGGGUUCGAGUCCCUCCGGGGUUA